GACGAACGCUGGCGGCGUGCUUAACACAUGCAAGUCGUACGGUAAGGCCCUUUCGGGGGUACACGAGUGGCGAACGGGUGAGUAACACGUGAGUAACCUGCCCACAACUUUGGGAUAACGCUAGGAAACUGGUGCUAAUACUGGAUAUGUGAUCCUGCUGCAUGGUGGGGGUUGGAAAGCUCCGGCGGUUGUGGAUGGACUCGCGGCCUAUCAGCUUGUUGGUGGGGUAGUGGCCUACCAAGGCGGCGACGGGUAGCCGGCCUGAGAGGGUGACCGGCCACAUUGGGACUGAGAUACGGCCCAGACGCCUACGGGAGGCAGCAGUGGGGAAUAUUGCACAAUGGGCGCAAGCCUGAUGCAGCAACGCCGCGUGCGGAAUGACGGCCUUCGGGUUGUAAACCGCUUUCAGCAGGGACGAAGCUUUUUGUGACGGUACCUGCAGAAGAAGCACCGGCUAACUACGUG
Molecule: ribosomal RNA, 465 nt
Filed under: uncultured bacterium
Lineage: Bacteria
Description: partial 16S ribosomal RNA
Rfam family: Bacterial small subunit ribosomal RNA
Source: RNAcentral